RNAcentral lists this long non-coding RNA (2286 nucleotides) under Triticum aestivum (bread wheat). Its description in RNAcentral is "long non-coding RNA (TAES_LNC017383)". Lineage: Eukaryota; Viridiplantae; Streptophyta; Magnoliopsida; Poales; Poaceae. The record is from RNAcentral.
AGCAACAAAAACAUAGGCUUGGUGUGUAACCGAUCAUGAAAGAUAGCUUGGUCCGUUUCUCCAUUGUUGGCUUAUAUUAAGCAAGAACAUCAGCCUGCAGAGAAGAAAAAUGGAGGACUGCUUUAUUCUGCGGUACAUCCACAAUAGUACAGCAAAUAAAGUAGUUAAAUAUGCGCUAAGAUUUAAGACCUUUUAAAAGGUAAGUAGUGAUCUAAAAGGUCUUGUAUUAGUUUGAAGAGGGAGCACAUAAUAAGACUGUAAGCCAGUACAUCAAAGUAAUGACGGCUUCCCAUUGAUUUCAUCAAACUAAUAUGACAAAGGGAAGGUGAAACUUCAGAAAACCAUAUAAAUUGACCACGAUGUCUUAAUUUAAAACUCUGAAAUGAAGUAAUAAACAUUAAGUCUGAAUGUUGUCACUAAAAAAGCAUAAAAAAAGCAGACCAGCCAGGAGUGCAUCAUAAUCAGUGGUUCAUCAUGCGCAAACCAGGCAGCAGUAGCCUAAUAACUUAGACGGAAAAAAUGCAAGAAGUCAAAGCACAAGGUGGGAAAUAGGACCGAGCAUUGACAGGUAACCAAAUAAUGAAAGAAUAUCCCCAUGAAAAUCAAGAACGGUACAUUAGCAUCCAGAAGUACAUAGAAACAAACAUUCCGCUUGGCAGAGUGUGAUCUCAGUAUGAUGUCAAUAGCUGGGACUAAGAAGGUAACCACGUAGAGUGUCACACCUAAGGCGUUUGCUUACGUCUCUAGUCUCUAGUAAUACAACUCACUAUUGAUUGAUUUAACUAAGGUAUUCUUCAGCUGGGUAUUUAUAAAGGGAAUUCACUAUGCUUUUUUACCAGCGAGUAGAGAGCAACUGAAGGACUUAUGUUUCUAAAUGCAAGAACAAACCUCACCAGGCUGCUGUGCAGACUUAUUGUCCGUGGAAGAUGCUACAGCUGAGCAAAAUUGGCUUGGGAUUUCUUCUAUGCCUGCUGCUCCCUCCUGCAGCAAUUAUUUGGAACAACAAAACAAUUUACUGUGAGAUGAGAGAAGGCACACUAAAGAAGCACAUCCAUAAGUGUAUAUCUAAUAAUAUAGAUGCUACAAAUCAAUAGAACUAAAAUACUCCAGCAAUUGGGAUCAGCUAGAUCUAUGUCUACAUCACCAAAUCAGAAGUUUAGUUACCUGUGGUUCGCUUGAUAGCAGUUGCAGGUUUUCAUGCGCUGAACUCAAGAACCGACCAGCAGCGACCAAAUCUAAGCACAACCAUCCCUCACAAUUUGAAUUCUACCCCAGCAAGUACAGACACGUCCUCUGCAACCUCAUACAGGUACGAAAGCGUCAUAAAGCACACCGCACUACGCCGCCACCACGACCUCCAAAACAUGUAUAACGACUGAAAUAAGCGGACGCAUUCUGUUCACACACAAGCAUGACAUAUAAGUGGGACGAGGCCGAACAAUACACGAUGGCGUGCCAGAUCUAGAAAAUUAAAAUGAUCAGUAAUUUAAACACCAUGACAACACAUAUAGGAAAGGAAAUAUGCAUUUUAGCUAGACAGAAAGCAAGCUAACCUCGAUGACAGAACAGAGAUGAAACAAAGCAGAAGAUCGGGACGCAGCAACACAAGAGAUCGCAGAACCUAAUAAAUAAAUGGACAUGAAGUGGUCAGUGCACCGGCAUGCUAUGGAAUAGACAGGUAAAAGAAGAGUCGUUCCCCAUGUUGGGGAUCGUUGCAGAAUUUUAAAAUUUUAUACGCAUCACCAAGAUCCAUCUAUGGAGUUUACUAGCAAUGAGAGGGAAGGAGUGCAUCUACAUACCCUUGUAGAUCGCGAGCGGAAGCGUUCAAGUGAACGGGGUUGAUGGAGUCGUACUCGUCGUGAUCCAAAUCACCGAUGACCGAGCGCCGAACGGACGGCACCUCCGCGUUCAACACACGUACGGAGCAGCGACGUCUCCUCCUUCUUGAUCCAACAAGGGGAAAGAGAGGUUGAUGGAGAUCCAGCAGCACGACGGCGUGGUGGUGGAAGUAGCGGGAGGGAGAGGUGUCACGGGAGGGAGAGGGAGGCGCCAGGGGCUAGGGUGCGGCUGCCCUCCCUCCCCCCUUUAUAUAGGCCCCUUGGGGGGGCGCCGGCCCUGGGAUCCCAUCUACAUGGGGGGCAGCGGCCAAGGGGGGAAACUUCCCCCCAAGUCAGGUGGGGCGCCCCCCACCCCCAGGGUUUCCAACCCUAGGCGCAGGGGGAGGCCCAUGGGGGGCGCACCAGCCCACCAGGGGCUGGUUCCCCUCCCACUUCAGCCCAUGGGGCC